UGCAGUCGAGCGGUAACAGAUCCNGCUUGCUGGAUGCUGACGAGCGGCGGACGGGUGAGUAAUGCAUAGGAAUCUGCCCGAUAGUGGGGGAUAACCUGGGGAAACCCAGGCUAAUACCGCAUACGUCCUACGGGAGAAAGGGGGCUCCGGCUCCCGCUAUGGGAUGAGCCUAUGUCGGAUUAGCUAGUUGGUGAGGUAACGGCUCACCAAGGCGACGAUCCGUAGCUGGUCUGAGAGGAUGAUCAGCCACAUCGGGACUGAGACACGGCCCGAACUCCUACGGGAGGCAGCAGUGGGGAAUAUUGGACAAUGGGCGAAAGCCUGAUCCAGCCAUGCCGCGUGUGUGAAGAAGGCCCUCGGGUUGUAAAGCACUUUCAGCGAGGAAGAACGCCUAGCGGUUAAUACCCGCUAGGAAAGACAUCACUCGCAGAAGAAGCACCGGCUAACUCCGUGCCAGCAGCCGCGGUAAUACGGAGGGUGCAAGCGUUAAUCGGAAUUACUGGGCGUAAAGCGCGCGUAGGUGGCUUGAUAAGCCGGUUGUGAAAGCCCCGGGCUCAACCUGGGAACGGCAUCCGGAACUGUCAAGCUAGAGUGCAGGAGAGGAAGGUAGAAUUCCCGGUGUAGCGGUGAAAUGCGUAGAGAUCGGGAGGAAUACCAGUGGCGAAGGCGGCCUUCUGGACUGACACUGACACUGAGGUGCGAAAGCGUGGGUAGCANACAGGAUUAGAUACCCUGGUAGUCCACGCCGUAAACGAUGUCGACCAGCCGUUGGGUGCCUAGCGCACUUUGUGGCGAAGUUAACGCGAUAAGUCGACCGCCUGGGGAGUACGGCCGCAAGGUUAAAACUCAAAUGAAUUGACGGGGGCCCGCACAAGCGGUGGAGCAUGUGGUUUAAUUCGAUGCNACGCGAANAANCUUACCUACUCNUGACAUCCUGCNAA
Molecule: ribosomal RNA, 941 nt
Filed under: uncultured bacterium
Lineage: Bacteria
Description: bacterial SSU rRNA
Rfam family: Bacterial small subunit ribosomal RNA
Source: RNAcentral